Molecule: ribosomal RNA, 253 nt
Filed under: uncultured bacterium
Lineage: Bacteria
Description: partial 16S ribosomal RNA
Rfam family: Bacterial small subunit ribosomal RNA
Source: RNAcentral
UACGUAGGGGGCUAGCGUUGUCCGGAUUUAUUGGGCGUAAAGAGCGUGUAGGCGGCCAGGUAGGUCUGCUGUGAAAACUCGAGGCUCAACCUCGAGACGUCGGCGGAAACCAUCUGGCUAGAGUCCGGAAGAGGAGAGUGGAAUUCCUGGUGUAGCGGUGAAAUGCGCAGAUAUCAGGAGGAACACCGGUGGCGAAAGCGGCCACCUGGACUGCACCUGACGCUGACACGCGAAAGCUAGGGGAGCGAACGGG